This 423-nucleotide ribosomal RNA is filed under the name uncultured bacterium. RNAcentral's name for it is "bacterial SSU rRNA". It matches the Rfam family "Bacterial small subunit ribosomal RNA", at positions 355 to 775 of the family's 1533-position model. The record is from RNAcentral.
UGAGGAAUGUUGGUCAAUGGGCGCAAGCCUGAACCAGCCAUCCCGCGUGAAGGAAGAAGGCGCUAUGCGUUGUAAACUUCUUUUCCAGGGGGAGAAUUUUUCCGUCGUGACGGGAAUUGAUGGUACUCUGGGAAUAAGCAUCGGCUAACUCCGUGCCAGCAGCCGCGGUAAUACGGAGGAUGCGAGCGUUAUCCGGAUUUAUUGGGUUUAAAGGGUGCGUAGGCGGAUAGAUAAGUCAGUGGUGAAAUUCUGCAGCUUAACUGUAGACUUGCCGUUGAUACUGUCAGUCUUGAGUAUGGUCAAGGCAGGCGGAAUGUGUAAUGUAGCGGUGAAAUGCUUAGAUAUUACACAGAACACCGAUUGCGAAGGCAGCUUGCUGGGCCAUUACUGACGCUGAGGCACGAAAGCGUGGGGAUCGAACAG